GUCAGGAUGGCCGAGCGGUCUAAGGCGCUGCGUUCAGGUCGCAGUCUCCCCUGGAGGCGUGGGUUCGAGUCCCAUUUCUGACA
RNAcentral lists this transfer RNA (83 nucleotides) under Dallia pectoralis (Alaska blackfish). Its description in RNAcentral is "tRNA-Leu". It matches the Rfam family "tRNA". From Rfam's summary of the family: Transfer RNA (tRNA) molecules are approximately 80 nucleotides in length. Their secondary structure includes four short double-helical elements and three loops (D, anti-codon, and T loops). Further hydrogen bonds mediate the characteristic L-shaped molecular structure. tRNAs have two regions of fundamental functional importance: the anti-codon, which is responsible for specific mRNA codon recognition, and the 3' end, to which the tRNAs corresponding amino acid is attached (by aminoacyl-tRNA synthetases). tRNAs cope with the degeneracy of the genetic code in two manners: having more than one tRNA (with a specific anti-codon) for a particular amino acid; and 'wobble' base-pairing, i.e. permitting non-standard base-pairing at the 3rd anti-codon position. The record is from RNAcentral. Lineage: Eukaryota; Metazoa; Chordata; Actinopteri; Esociformes; Umbridae.